This 316-nucleotide unclassified non-coding RNA is filed under the name Hevea brasiliensis (rubber tree). The record is from RNAcentral. Lineage: Eukaryota; Viridiplantae; Streptophyta; Magnoliopsida; Malpighiales; Euphorbiaceae.
AAGGCUUCAAAAAGAUCAAGGCGUUGUCGUUCUUAGUGUCUUUGACUGGCACUACCAUUGAUAUACCAGAUUCCGAGUAAGGCAUCGCAAAGUCAACAUAGUUGGACCUGUUGGCCAGAAUUGUCACAUCUCCCACAACAGCAUCAAAUUUCCCCAAGUAGACUUGAUAGAUUAAAUCGUUGUAAGUUCCAGCACUCUCCCCUUCAGAAUUGACAAAGGGGACGUAAUCAUAAGAAACGUCAUAUGGUAAUCGAUCCAUUACUGCAUUAAAAACGUCUAUGCAGUAUCCUGUUACCUUUGUAGCAUUAGUCUUAGG